AUACCUACCUGGCAGAGGAGAUACCAUGAUCACGAAGGUGGUUUUCCCAGGGUGAGGCUUAUCCAUUGCACUCCACAUGUGCUGAUCCCUGCGAUUUCCCCAAAUGAAAAAGAAAAAAGAAAAAGAAAAACACACUUUACUGCCCAAAGUCUGCCCAUCUAACUUAUGUUUUUAUAACA
This 179-nucleotide small nuclear RNA is filed under the name Prolemur simus (greater bamboo lemur). Its description in RNAcentral is "U1 spliceosomal RNA (ENSPSMG00000023262.1)". The stretch from base 1 to 156 matches the Rfam family "U1 spliceosomal RNA". From Rfam's summary of the family: U1 is a small nuclear RNA (snRNA) component of the spliceosome (involved in pre-mRNA splicing). Its 5' end forms complementary base pairs with the 5' splice junction, thus defining the 5' donor site of an intron. There are significant differences in sequence and secondary structure between metazoan and yeast U1 snRNAs, the latter being much longer (568 nucleotides as compared to 164 nucleotides in human). The record is from RNAcentral. Lineage: Eukaryota; Metazoa; Chordata; Mammalia; Primates; Lemuridae.